AUAGAAAAUAUGGGAAGAAGGAGCUGGACCAUCAGAAGAAAAGAGAGAAAUGGGAACUCUCUGGAACUCCACCUGCUGCUUAUGUUAUCCAUGGCUUGUAACAACCUCCCCACUUGAAAAGAAUCCAUUUCUAUUCCCUUCUUUAAGCAAGAAAAAUGCAUGCAAUUUCAGCAACAAGUCGUUCCAGAUUUCUUGCAAACUUUCUGAAAGUGAAGUUGAAGAAAAUUAUACUAGCAAAAAGGUGUCAGGCAGCUCAAGUAAUAAGAUGGAGGAAUACAACUUAGCUAUGAAAAGAAUGAUGAGGAACCCAUAUGAAUAUCAUCAUGAUCUUGGAAUGAACUACACAUUGAUAACAGAAAAUCUCAUUGUUGGCUCCCAGCCCCAGAAAGUUGAAGAUGUAGAUCAUUUGAAAAAGGAGGAGAAUGUCGCUUUUAUACUAAAUUUGCAGCAGGACAAAGAUAUUGAGUUUUGGGGAAUAGACCUCCAGUCUAUAGUCAAAAGAUGUUCAGAUCUUGGAAUUCAUCACAUGAGAAGGCCUGCAAAAGAUUUUGAUCCAGAUUCCUUAAGGGGUGUAUUACCUAAAGCUGUUUCAUCGCUAGAGUGGGCUAUUUCAGAAGGAAAAGGAAGAGUGUACGUACAUUGCACUGCUGGAUUGGGAAGGGCUCCUGCUGUUUCAAUUGCUUAUAUGUUCUGGUUCUGUGGAAUGGAUCUAAAUACCGCCUAUGAUACACUCACAUCAAAGAGACCCUGUGGGCCCAACAAAAGGUCGAUACGAGCAGCUGCUUAUGAUAUGGCUAAAAAUGAUCAGUGGAAGGAGCCGUUUGAGAAUCUGCCAGAUUAUGCCUUUGCAGAUGUAGCAGAUUGGGAAAGGAAACUGAUUCAAAAUCGUGUCCGGGGCCUUCGUGACACUUGAGAAUGCUGUUUGCUUGCAGGAGAAUCCAAGAAUGGACAAAAAUCUAGAAAUCAUGUCUACAACUUGAGAAAUAGAAAUCCAGACUUCACAAGUUAUAGCAUGGAUGUAUUCCAGAGAGCGAGAAGCUGCUCCUUGAAGAGAAGAAGCCCCAUUAUAACAUGCUGCAGAUUCGAAAUUUUUAAUGCAGCGUUGCAUAAAACUACUGGUAUGAGAAUUAUGAGGUCUCAAAUGCAAUUUGACAUAUGAAUUAGUUGUUGCUGUAACAUAUUAGGUCAGUAGAUUUUGUAUAGUUGUAUACCCCUGUCCCCUGUAAUAAAGUGAGCCCAUCAGUUGAAAGUUCAUUAUUGGGGAGCACCUUGUUUAUCCUUGUUCCAUAAACCAAUAUAUUGAGGGGGUUUAUGUCCUCUUUUUGUACUA
Molecule: RNA transcript, 1330 nt
Organism: Nicotiana attenuata
Lineage: Eukaryota; Viridiplantae; Streptophyta; Magnoliopsida; Solanales; Solanaceae
Gene name: phosphoglucan phosphatase LSF2, chloroplastic
Exons: 6
Source: RefSeq, a predicted model, not a curated record